UACAGAGGUGGCAAGCGUUGUUCGGAAUUACUGGGCGUAAAGGGCGCGUAGGCGGCCUUCUAAGUCAGACGUGAAAUCCCCCGGCUUAACCUGGGAACUGCGUCUGAUACUGGGAGGCUUGAGUAUGGGAGAGGGAUGUAGAAUUCCAGGUGUAGCGGUGAAAUGCGUAGAUAUCUGGAGGAAUACCGGUGGCGACAGCGGCAUGCUGGGUCCCUUCUGACGCUGAGGCGCGAAAGCCAGGGGAGCAAACGGG
RNAcentral lists this ribosomal RNA (253 nucleotides) under uncultured bacterium. Its description in RNAcentral is "partial 16S ribosomal RNA". It matches the Rfam family "Bacterial small subunit ribosomal RNA", at positions 524 to 776 of the family's 1533-position model. The record is from RNAcentral.